AUUUAAAUUAUAAAAUGUGCACUGACAAAGCGUGAAAUUCUCCAACAUUACGAUUAACAAAACUUGAGAUUAUUGUAAUAACUAAGUGCAAAUCGAGUCAACUAUAUAUUGGCAUUUUUUUUAACAAACUAUAUAUUGACACUUAAAAACACCAUAAACCCAAAGUUGUUUUUUUUUCGAGGCCGCCUCAGUCAAUCAGGCUAAUUGACGAAAUAUUGUAAACCAGCCCUUUUUGUGAACCAGCUUUGCAAUAUUAAAAAAAAAAAAAAAAAAAAAAACCUAGAUCUAGCAUCAUAUUUCACGAAUGACAAACCACCACCAUUUCGUCUACCCCUGUCAUCUCGUCGGUCAUCUGUCAACGCGUCCCUCUUCUCUUCCCUUCUUCCUCCUUCCUCAACAACCACUCCAACGCCGUUGUGCGACGGUAACAAAAAGACACUCUAGUAGCAAAAGGGGGUAAAUUAGGGCCAUAUCAAUCCCUUAGGAGUAGCAUCUUUGCAAUGAGCUGCAAUGGAGGAGGAAGGGAGGAAGAAAGGGAAAAGUACAAACUUACCCCCAAAUAAAUAAAAAAAAAUGACUUUUAUAUCCCCUGAUUUACCAAUUGGCUGAUGAACAUGUAUUUUCACUUUUUCCACUUGAACAAAUGUACAAUAGAUCAUUGAAUUUCUCUUGAAAAAGACUCUAUCUUGGAACAUCAUUUUGGCUUCCAAUUUAAGGGUAAGAGACUCAAAUAGCAACCAUUACUAAUUUGCUACUAAUUGCGAGUAAUUCUGAAACCAACAUCUGAAGCAAAGAGAACAGUUUUUUGGAGAGAAGAGAAAAUGGAGCAGCAAAUUGACAACGAAGCUAUUAAGAAGAGACCUGCUAUCUUGGUUAUCGGAUCUCCCGGCGUCGGAAAGCGCACCAUUCUCUCCAGACUAUUGUCAGUGGAUUAUGAAGAUGCUUUCGAUACAUCAUCUGAAGUACUUAUACAAGGGUGGACUAUUGACACAAAAUAUUAUUCGGCUGAUGUUGCUGUAUGGAUGGCUCACCUUAAUGAUGAUAUUCCCCCCAGUUCCCUGCCAGACAUUCAGUUUGCUGCCAUAAUGAUGGUUUUUGACAUGAGCGAGUUAUCUUCUCUUACUGCACUCAAAAAAUGGGUCUCUCAUACUGAUAUCCAGAAAUCUGAUAUCCUAUUGUGUGUUGGAAACAAAGUGGAUCUUGUUCCAGGUCACCCAGCUCAUGCUGAAUACAAACGACAUUUACAGAGGCUCAAGGACCCUUUUGCUAGCUCAGAUGUGGAUUCAUAUGAGUAUGGAGUUUUUGAAUCUGAGGGAAGUAGUCUAUUGGGCAAUGAAGAGCCAUCGUGCGAUAUUAAGAGAUCUUGCUUGGAAUGGUGCAUGGAGUGUAAUAUUGAAUAUGUGGAGGCCUGCGCUUCUAAUGCUGAAUUUGAUAAAUGUUUAUCCAUUGAUGGUGACUCGCAAGGAGUGGAACGACUCUUUGGUGCACUUUCUGCCCACAUGUGGUCUGGAAUGGUUUUGAAAUCUGGAAACAGAAUUCUUGCACCAACUCUACCUGAAAGACAAGAUUCAUCAGAAGAUGAAUCUGAGUAUGAAGCUGAGUAUGAAGUCCUUUCAGGCGGUUCAGCUGAACUAUGGGAUGAUACAGAGGAUGGCUGGGUGGCCGCCAUCCCACCUAAUGCAUCUUCUGUUGAAUCUGCUGACCUAAAGUCUGUUUCUGAAGCUGAAAGGGCUGAGCCAUCAACAUCGGCAUCUUCUGAAUGUAGAGAUAAUGCUGAGGAAGUAGAAUUUAAAGCGGGUGAGGCUUAUGAUGGUGAUAAUCUUGACAAGGGUGAACAUCUGGAACUUGAGGAUUUGGAGCAUUUAAUGUCAGAAAUUGCAAAUAUGCGCAGCAGCUCAAGGUUGAUGCCUGAUUUUCAGAGGCGAGAAAUGGCUGCCAAGCUGGCCAUGCAAAUGGCUGCUCUUUUUGGGGAUGACAGUGGUGAUGAAGGAGUCGAGUGAUAAUAAGACAAAGAACAAAACUUGUAAACUUCAGCAAAGGAGAUGUAGAGGCAAGGCUUUCUCCAUGCAAGCACAUUAUGAUGUGUUAUCAUCUGGAGAGUCGUUAGAAGAUUUGCUGUACUGAUUUUCUCGCAUAGAUGAGUUUUUUUCUCCCCUUUAAACUUAGUACUCAAGCGGAAAACAUGACCCAGUCCCGAAGAUGCGUAUACUAGGGAUAUGCUGGAUUUUGGGCCAGUCUUCGCCUGUUGGCUUCAAGCACCUCUCCUCUAGCUUCUUAGAGCAAUUUUCAAGUGUAAGCGUCUUCAAGCUAGAAAGGUUGGUUGUCCACUCUGGUAUGGCAUUGAGGUCUUCACAUCUGCUUACUGUUAGCUGUUCCAAGGAAAAACCUCUAAACUCCCCUGUGAUUAAUAAUAUCCACUCCAUUUUGUCGACCUGCAUAUGCUUCAAUCUGGGGAAUGCCAGUUUUCGCUCAAAGAGAUUAUUCUGGAUGGGUUGUCUUGAAUCUGCUUCACUAUUUGAAAUAAUUCUCUUCCAUCCCUUUAAUUUAGGCAUGUUCCGAAGCCAGAGAUACUCGAGUGAUGGAAAUAAGGGAGCAUGGUGCUUAUACACAAUGUCGUUAUUACUUUCAUUGCUCCCAGCACAAGUUUUCUCAAUAUACUCAACAUUGUCUAAAUCUAAAAGAUUCAGAUAUUUAAGAUGAGGAAGCCUCCCAAAGGAGCAAAGGUAUCUGCAGCCUUCGCACUGGAGUAUCCAAAUGCUAACAAGAUUCGGAAGCCAAAAGUGAAGGCGAUCCAUCAUCCAGCUUGGUAACCUCUCUCCUGCAUAACCAUAUAUCAACAGUUCUUUUAAAUUAGAAUUGGGUUGGAGGCCUUCUAUAACUAUUUCGUCAUGUUUUAGGCUACCACCAAUGAACUCUAAAUCCAAGCCUAAAAGCUUAUCUUUACUCUUCAAGUUUGCUGUCUUAGCUUCCGAAACUGUAUCCAUUGACCUCCCAAUGACACGUAUUGUUAACUUUCCCAUUAGAUUAUUCAGGCGAUGUAGCUCUGCUAACUCGCCGACACUGUUGGCCUUUGAUCCGUUUUCUGAAUUCUGCUCCCCUUGUAUGAA
This is an RNA transcript of Chenopodium quinoa (quinoa), 3107 nucleotides long. RefSeq lists it as uncharacterized. NCBI's taxonomy places the organism in Eukaryota, Viridiplantae, Streptophyta, Magnoliopsida, Caryophyllales, Amaranthaceae. The transcript is spliced from 7 exons. The record is from RefSeq and is a predicted model, not a curated record.